Nicotiana tabacum (common tobacco) is the source of this 920-nucleotide long non-coding RNA. RefSeq lists it as uncharacterized. Lineage: Eukaryota; Viridiplantae; Streptophyta; Magnoliopsida; Solanales; Solanaceae. The record is from RefSeq and is a predicted model, not a curated record.
AUUUUAAGUAUAUCUUGUAAUUAAGGUCAACACCUUUUAAGCUAUAUAUGAUUCUCAUAAGUUAGAUUACGAUCGGGCACAAUAUAAAAGAUCUUCACAUUACCAAAUAUACAACGCAACAAAGUUGCCUAAUUUCAAGAACAAACGGAAAUUAAAUACCAAAUGUAUUAGGCUAUUAGCCACUGAUAUCAGUUCAGUGAACCUUCGAGCUUUCGGUGAGCAGCUGCUUACCGUUUCUUCAUGUCUUCUAAUGACUUUGGUUUAAAGAAAUCUUCUUUCCCAAUAUAUAUUGUUCCCCAAUUCUUCAAAUAUUUCUUGCUGGAGAAAACCAUCUUUAGAAAGAGGAGCUGGAAAAAGACUGCAAAUUGUGAAUUCCCAAAAUAAGAAGAAAUGUUUGAGGUGCAAUACUCUUUAUCAAGACAAAGAUAAUUCCCCUAUUGCCUGCUUUUUCCACGGCCGCACUAAUGGGAAUCGAUCGAGAAUGGAGCGACGGAUCUGGAGUAAUCGUCUAUAAGUGGAACGACAAGGAUAAGAGGCCAAAUACAGGAAGAAAAAAUUGGAAAAAGAGAUGGAGCUGUUGUGCUGAGUAUUGAUGAAAAUGCUCCACCUUGUAGGCAAGGAUGGCAUGUCUCAUAUGAUGAUGGUUUCACAUUAUACUAAUCAUAUGUGAUCACUUGUUCGAGCCGUGAAAAUAAACUUUUGUAGAAAUACAGGGUAAGACUAUGUACAAUAGACCAUUGUAGUCCGACCCUUCCUCAGACCCUGUACAUAGCAGGAGUUUAGUGCACCGAGCAACCCUUUUUUUUUAAAUAUAUGCGAUCACUUUUAUUUUAGCUACAAUAAAAAUGCAAAAUUUGUUUCAAAUUUUCGAGGAAUGCCAUGACAUGCAUGCAAUAAGAAACACAUUUUUGUUGAGUUGA